This 644-nucleotide ribosomal RNA is filed under the name Acarospora applanata. RNAcentral's name for it is "SSU rRNA". It matches the Rfam family "Bacterial small subunit ribosomal RNA", at positions 385 to 1113 of the family's 1533-position model. The record is from RNAcentral. Lineage: Eukaryota; Fungi; Ascomycota; Lecanoromycetes; Acarosporales; Acarosporaceae. RNAcentral also lists the same sequence under 1 other name.
GCUAGUUGUAUUAUUAGUUAAUGCAAGAUCGACUACGUCGACUAAAGUUCUAGGUAGAAUAAUGAUGAUGACAAUUUUUUACCUAUAUGUCUUGACCAAGUCUCGUGCCAGCAGUCGCGGUAAUACGUGGAAGACUAGUGUUAUUCAUCUUUAUUAGGUUUAAAGGGUACCUAGACGGUAUUUCUAGCCCAAAAUAGGGUACGGAUUUACUAGAGUUUUAUGUGAGGAGGGGAGUACUCGUGGAGUAGAGAUGAAAUUUUGUUAUACUAUGAGGUAACUGGUGGCGGCGAAAGCAACCUUCUAUGUAUAAACUGACGUUGAGGGACGAAGGCUUGGGUAGCAAAUAGGAUUAGAUACCCUAGUAGUCCAAGCAGACAAUUCUGAAUGCCAUAGAUUAGAUUAUUUUUGGUCUAUAAAUGAAAGUGUAAGCAUUCCACCUUAGGAGUAAUGUGGCAACACAGGAACUGAAAUCAUUAGACCGUUUCUGAAACCAGUAGUGAAGUAUGUUAUUUAAAUUGAUGGUCCACAAAAAACCUUACCACAACUUGAAUAUUUUUUAAUUAAUACAAGCGUUGCACGGCUGUCUUCAGUUAAUGUCGUGAGAUUUUGGUUAACUCCAUUAAUUAACGUAAACCCUUACUUUA